GCGAGUUCUCUUGCACGUACGGCGAAAAACAAUUAUUCAGUCUCAGCAAUGCAGGAGUUCGCUGCAGUGGAACGCUUUUUGCUUGCGAGAAGGAAUUGUAAUUUGUUGGUUACAACUUUCGAGUCACGAAUCGACACACGGUUUCAGCCCAGAAACGAGCCAAACGCUGAUGUGGCAGGUGUUUCUUCCUUGGCAAGCUAAAGAGCAUCGGUUCUAUUCAGUGAGUGAGUCCCUGGCAUCACAGCCUCAUCGAACUACAGCCAAGGCACAGUGAAAAAUUUUCGUUGAAAAUUUCAGUUUAAAAACUUUUCACACUCCUUUCACUUAGCCACGAACUACUAACGGAACUUUCACAGCAGUUAAAUAAUUGCAGCGGCCAAGCCGUUCGACAGCAGCUUAGCUACAUCUGCGUUACAGAGACUGACGAAUUAUGGUUUUCACAGCACGUGCAAGGGGAACACCCCUAAGUAGUGAAGUACAGUCUGGACAAUGAACUUUGUUCCAGUUCACGUAACGAGGAGAGCAACACAUUCGUCGUGCGGAGAGCACGCCUGAAAACAAAAGUUCAGUAAGAUACCGCGUUUUCCGUUUCACACGUCCCCCACUACAGGAGUCUUAUUAUCCUAAGAUUUCGCCUUGAAAUGUCCCAGAAGUCCAACACAAGGUGGACAAACGGGGAAUUUCAUCGCCAGAGGCGACACUCUACCUCAUUGCUGAUGUGGGGAAUGAAAUAGUGAGCCCCUUCACAACAAGGAACCAAGUCCUACGGUGUCCGGAAAGUUCCAGUUUGAUAUGCAACGUUUAUUUGGACUCAUUCGGACUGUUCACAGGACAAAGCCGGUGCAAUGUUCAUCCAGGCCAUGCCCCCAAACUUGGAAAGCUGCGCAAAUACCAACCUACUGUGCCCUCUUCAGAGGAGACACCAAGCUCGAAUGCAACACCUGGUACAACAACGGGACAAUCUCAAGCUCCCCAGCAAAAGAAGAGGAGCCACUCCCCUCAACACAUAAGCGCAUAGCAAUGCUCCAGAGAAAAGUCAACCAAUACCGCAAGGCCUUGAACCGGAUAAAGUUGAAGGAACAACGGACCAACAUCACGAAACAAGAUGCACUUAUAGUAAUGAAACGGUUCAUCCCCCCAGAUGCGUACACACUGCUGUCUGCACGGAUACACCUUUCUGUGAAAAAACAUUGCAAGAGAUGGUCAGAAGACAUGAAAAAGUUCGCAAUGAAACUGUACUUUCAUAGCCCGAAGGCAUACAGUUUCAAGCUGUACUUUACAGCUUUUUACUUUACACUUUACAGCCUCCACACGUGAUUGGUGAAAUAAAAAAUGGAUUGAAUUCAUAGUACGUGUCAUGAAGGAGCCGUCUGUGCUGAGUAUUAGGAGGUAGCUCUCAAAUAUAAACACGAGUCCUGGAAUCAUCCCUGGUACCAUCCCCAUAGUAGCCAAGGCAACCAAAAACUAGACAAGGCGGACCCGAGCCUGUACUCUGAUGUUUGACGAAAUGUCCUUGACUCAAGUGUUCCAGUAUGAUAUCAAGAAAGAUGUGAGCCAUGGGAUAUGAAGAUGACAGAAAGAAAAGAACGGCCCGCGUUGGGGGCAAACGUUGCUGUCCGGGAUCUCCAGAGCGUGGGUGCAGCAUAUGCCAUAUCCCGCAACCGCGUGAGCCAGCGGACACCACUAAGAACCUUUUACAGGAGAUAAUUACAAAACUUGAAGCGGUGGACAUUUGGGUGAAGGCAGUUAUAUGUGACCAAGGUGCCAACAGCGUAUAUGUGGCAACACGGC
Long non-coding RNA from Ornithodoros turicata, 1791 nucleotides. RefSeq lists it as uncharacterized. NCBI's taxonomy places the organism in Eukaryota, Metazoa, Arthropoda, Arachnida, Ixodida, Argasidae. The transcript has 6 exons. The record is from RefSeq and is a predicted model, not a curated record.